Xyrichtys novacula (pearly razorfish) is the source of this 2334-nucleotide non-coding RNA. NCBI's taxonomy places the organism in Eukaryota, Metazoa, Chordata, Actinopteri, Labriformes, Labridae. The record is from the annotation of a GenBank genome assembly.
UCAGGUUGAAGUUGUGAAGCUCUGUCGUCAGUACUCAGCUCCCAGUCCUCUAAUCUAAGAGAGCUGGACUUGAGUAACAACAACCUGCAGGACUCAGGAGUGAAGCUGCUGUCUGUUGGACUGGAGAGUCCACACUGUAAACUGGAAACCCUUGGGUCAGGUUUUUUUUAUUUUCUACCUCAAAGUUAUUUGAAUGAAAAUGGUUGGUACACUUUUGCUGAUUGUGUAACUUUUUUCUUCUAACUCCAGGCUGUCAGGCUGUCUCAUUACAGAGACAGGCUGUGCUUAUCUGGCCUCAGCUCUGAGCUCCAACCCCUCCCAUCUGAGAAAGCUGGACCUGAGCUACAAUCAUCCAGGACACUCAGGAGUGAAGGAGCUUUCUAUCAGGAUGGAGGAUGCACACUGUACACUUGAUACACUAAGGUAACCAGACAGAAAGAGUUGGCACACAAUUAAGAUGCAGUGGAAAGAAAUUUGUCAACAUGUGGUCAAUGAUGGUCCAUAUGUCUCAUUCAGACACUGGGGAAUGCACUGGAUGGAUGAAAAAAACACAUGAAAUCAAACGUGUUCUGAGGAAAACAAUAGUUUCUAAGUCAGUGUACUAACAUAUACAACAGAGUAUUAGGGCCAGAUUAAAAUAAAAAAAUGAAGACUUCGAGAUUAAAGUUAUUGACUUAUGAGAGUAAAGUAAUUACUAACGAUGAGAAUAAAGUCAUAAAAAAGUAAUUACUUACAAGAAUAAAGUCGGAGUAAAAUCAUUAUUAUACUUUUAAUAAUGUGGUGCUGAUGUGCCAAAAGAUUAAGUAUGUCCUUGUUUGAGAAAUCUAUAUUGAAGUACAUUUUCACAAAAUGCCCCAUGGCCCUCAUUUCAACAACUGUCAUCUUAAACAACAGGUUAGAAUGUAAGGACUUUAUUCUGACUUUACUCUCGUAAGUAAUUACUUUAUGACAACUUCGUUCUCGUAAGUUAGGAUUUAUUUACAACUUUAUCCUCGUAAAUAAUGAUUUUAUUACGACUUUAAGUAAUUACUUAAUCAUGACUUUAAUCUUGUUAGUAAUGACUUUAUUCUCGUAAAUUAAUGACUUUAAUCUUGAAGUCUUCAUUUUUUUUCCUAAUACUCCGUCAUAAACUUGGGUUUUUUACAGUGCCAUUUUUUUUUUUUUUUUUUUGGAAAGUAUAAAAAUAAAGUUCAUGUGAUGCAGGACAGACAAACAGGGAGCCUUCGCUUUUUUUAACAUUCUUGGUGUUGUUUUCUCUGAGUAUCGCAACACUGUCAGGAAAAAAUUGAAAGCGUGACAGAUGAGCCUCCUUCUGACGAAUGAUGAAAAUGCAGUUAACCCUGGUGUUAAACAGGAAAUCAUUUUGACUGUGUUUCUCCCUCCAGAGUGGAUCAUAAUGAAGAGCGGUGGUUAAAACAUGGCCUCAAGAAGUGUAAGUGUGGAGUCAAAACAGCAGACUGUCAGGUAACUCAGUCUUCAGGUGUGUGUGUGAUAAUAAACUGCUGCUGUGUUGUACUUUUUUUCUUCUCCAUCAGAUUUCUCUGUGCUCACACUGGACGCAAACUCAGUGAACAGUUUCCUCCAACUUUCUGAAAACAACAAGAUGGUGACAUAUGUGGGGUAUCAGCUGUAUCCUAAUCAUCCUGACAGAUUUGAGCUCUGUCCUCAGGUGCUGUGUAGAGAUGGUCUGACUGGUCGUUGUUACUGGGAGGUUGAGUGGAGAGGACAGGUUUACCUAUCAAUGAGUUACAGAGGAAUCAGAAGGAAAGGGAAGGGGAAUGACUGUGAGUUUGGAUUAAACAAUCAGUCCUGGAGUCUGACGUGCUCAGAUAACGGGUACUCUGUCUGGCACAAUAACAGAGAGACAGUCCUCCCUCUCUCCACGUCCUCUGUCUCUCACAGAGUGGCAGUAUAUUUCGAUGGUCCCACCACUCUGUCCUUCUACAGAGUCUACUCUGACACACUGAUCCACCUCCAUACCUUCAGCACCACCUUCACUGAGCCUCUCUAUCCAGGGUUUGGAUUGUGGGGUAGUUCCUCUCUGUCUCUGUGUUCUCCCUAACAGAGAGGGUCUCUUCCUCUCUCAACAAACACCAACAGCUGGAGUAAACAUUUACUCAUCUUUACCGAAUCAUCCUGGAAAACCACCCAGCCAUCAUUCCACAUCACUACACAUACACACACACACACCAAUACAACUUGUCCACAUUCACCAGUAUGUGGUGAUAAUUUGCUGUUGUGUUUGUUUUUGUGUUUGUUUGUUAUUCAAGUUAAAGAUCCCACCUUGGAAAUGAAUCCAUAUGGGUAUCAGAUCUCAAGCAGCUACUAUUGCAU